RNAcentral lists this ribosomal RNA (606 nucleotides) under uncultured bacterium. RNAcentral describes it as "bacterial SSU rRNA". The stretch from base 1 to 520 matches the Rfam family "Bacterial small subunit ribosomal RNA", at positions 338 to 873 of the family's 1533-position model. The record is from RNAcentral.
CCUACGGGAGGCAGCAGUGGGGAAUCUUGCGCAAUGGGCGAAAGCCUGACGCAGCCAUGCCGCGUGAAUGAUGAAGGUCUUAGGAUUGUAAAAAUUCUUUCACCGGGGACGAUAAUGACGGUACCCGGAGAAGAACGCCCCGGCUAACUUCGUGCCAGCAGCCGCGGUAAUACGAAGGGGGCUAGCGUUGCUCGGAAUUACUGGGCGUAAAGGGAGCGUAGGCGGAUAGUUUAGUCAGAGGUGAAAGCCCAGGGCUCAACCUUGGAAUUGCCUUUGAUACUGGCUAUCUUGAGUAUGGGAGAGGUUAGCGGAACUCCGAGUGUAGAGGUGAAAUUCGUAGAUAUUCGGAAGAACACCAGUGGCGAAGGCGGCUAACUGGCCCAUUACUGACGCUGAGGCUCGAAAGCGUGGGGAGCAAACAGGAUUAGAUACCCUGGUAGUCCACGCCGUAAACGAUGAGUGCUAGUUGUCGGCAUGCAUGCAUGUCGGUGACGCACGACUACGACAUAAGUACACCUCCGCCGUCGGGAGGUACGGUCGCGAAGAAUUAAAACUUAAAUAGUAGUAGACGCGUGAGAGUCGCGACGACGACGACGAGGGAGGAGG